AGCUUUGUGCGUAACGCCCUUGGCACCGGGACGCUUUUGGCGUUUCCGGGGAGUAUGUUCGGCGCGCUCGCCGUGGGGUUCGCCGCAAAGUUU
This 93-nucleotide transfer RNA is filed under the name Synergistales bacterium. RNAcentral describes it as "tRNA-Lys". Lineage: Bacteria; Thermotogati; Synergistota; Synergistia; Synergistales. The record is from RNAcentral.